This 2913-nucleotide ribosomal RNA is filed under the name Mycoplasmopsis agassizii. Its description in RNAcentral is "bacterial LSU rRNA". It matches the Rfam family "Bacterial large subunit ribosomal RNA". Lineage: Bacteria; Bacillati; Mycoplasmatota; Mycoplasmoidales; Metamycoplasmataceae. The record is from RNAcentral.
ACUUUUAAAUAAGCAAGAGUUUGUAGUGGAUGCCUUGGGUCUGGAAGUCGAUGAAGGACGUGAUUACCUGCGAUAAGCUUCGGUUAGUUGGAAAUAAACUAUGAGCCGGAGAUCUCCGAAUGAGGAAACUCGAUACAAGUAAUGUUGUAUCACUCCCCUUUGAAUAUAUAGAAGGGAAAGAGACAUACGUUGUGAACUGAAACAUCUUAUUAGCAACAGGAAAAGAAAAUAAAUAAUGAUUCCGUCAGUAGUGGCGAGCGAACGCGGAAGAGCCCAAACCACAUUUUGUGGGGUUGUAGGACUGCUCACAUAGAGUUACAAAAUAUUUAUAUAGAAGAAUAAACUGGAAAGUUUGGCCAAAGAGGGUGAUAGCCCCGUAUUCGAAAUAUAAAUAUCUCUUAGCAGGAUCCUGAGUAGGGCGGGGCACGUGAAACCCUGUCUGAAUCCGCCGGGACCACCCGGUAAGGCUAAAUACUAACCAGACACCGAUAGUGAACUAGUACCGUGAGGGAAAGGUGAAAAGAACCCCGGAAGGGGAGUGAAAUAGAAUCUGAAACUACAUACUUACAAUUAGUCAGAGCGCGUUAAUGCGUGAUGGCGUACAUCUUGCAGGAUGGUCCGGCGAGUUAUAUUAUCAUGCGAGGCUAAGUGGAGAAAAGCGGAGCCGUAGAGAAAUCGAGUCUUAAUAGGGCGAAUUAGUAUGAUGGUAUACACCCGAAACCAGGUGAUCUAUUCAUGAGCAGACUGAAGCUUGGGUAAUACCAAGUGGAGGGUCGAACCGUAGUACGCUGAAAAGUGCCCGGAUGACUUGUGAAUAGCGGUGAAAUUCCAAUCGAACCUGGAGAUAGCUGGUUCUCCUCGAAAUAGCUUUAGGGCUAGCGUGUGAUGUUAAACUCUGGUGGUAGAGCACUGAAUAUGGAAUGGCGGCGCCUAGCUGUACUGACUAUAAUCAAACUCCGAAUACCAUUGUGAAUUAUCAUGCAGUCGGAACAUCGGUGAUAACGUCGAUGCUCGCGAGGGAAACAACCCAGAUCGUCAGCUAAGGUCCCCAAAUUAUGUUAAGUGAGAAAAGUUGUUGAGUUUCAUAAACAACUAGGAGGUUGGCUUAGAAGCAGCCACCCUUUAAAGAGUGCGUAAUAGCUCACUAGUCAAGAAAAGCAGCGCUGAAAAUAUAACGGGACUAAACAUAAUACCGAAGCUACGGGUACUACUGGUACGUUAGAGGAGCGUUCUUGUCAGCACUGAAGCCAAAGCGUGAGCAUUGGUGGAGCGUCAAGAAGUGAGAAUGCCGGAAUGAGUAACGAUUGAAGGUGAGAAUCCUUCACGCCUAUUGGGGAAGGUUUCCUGGGCAAGGUUCGUCCACCCAGGGUUAGUCAGGGCCUAAGGCGAGGUCGAAAGACGUAGUCGAUGGACAACAGUUUAAUAUUACUGUACUUGCGGUGAUAGUGAUGGAGUGACGGAGAAGGAUAGUUUUACCAGUUAACGGAUUCUGGAGUAAAUAAUUAGUGGUCAGUGUAGGCAAAUCCGCACUGUAUAACUGCGAGUUAUGAUGCAUAGCGAACGGCAACAAGUAGCGAAUUAAACGAUUUCAUGCUUCCAAGAAAAGCUUCUAAACUUAAUAUCACAGUAACCUGUACCGAGAACGGACACACGUCCUCAAGAUGAGUAUUCUAAGGCGAGCGAGAAAACCAUUGUCAAGGAACUCUGCAAAUUGACCCCGUAAGUUCGCGAGAAGGGGCCCUCAAAACCAUCAAGUUAAUUCUUUUUGAAUUUUGAGGCACAGUAAAUUUCAAGGGGGAACUGUUUAUCAAAAACACAGCUCUCUGCUAAAUCGUAAGAUGACGUAUAGGGGGUGAAGUCUGCCCAGUGCCCGAAGGUUAAGUGGAGCUGUUAGCUUUAGCGAAGCAGCAAAAUGAAGCCCGGGUGAACGGCGGCUGUAACUAUAACGGUCCUAAGGUAGCGAAAUUCCUUGUCGGCUAAAUACUGACCUGCACGAAAGACAUAAUCAUCUCUUGACUGUCUCGACAAUGGACUCGGUGAAAUUAUGGUGGCAGUGAAAACGCUGCCCACCCGCAUCUAGACGAAAAGACCCCGUGGAGCUUUACUAUAACUUUGUAUUGAAGUUUGGCUUAACAUGUGUAGGAUAGGUGGGAGACUAUGAAGCGAGGACGCUAGUCCUUGUGGAGUCAACCUUGAAAUACCACCCUUGUUAAGUUGAGCUUCUAACCUACGACCAUUAUCUGGUCGGGAGACAGUGCAUGGUAGGUAGUUUGACUGGGGCGGUCGCCUCCUAAAAGGUAACGGAGGCGUUCAAAGCUACACUCAAUACGGUCAGAAACCGUAUGUAGAGCGCAAAGGUAAAAGUGUGGUUGACUGCGAGACCUACAAGUCGAGCAGGUGCGAAAGCAGGACUUAGUGAUCCGGCGGUACAUUGUGGAAUGGCCGUCGCUCAACGGAUAAAAGCUACCCCGGGGAUAACAGGGUUAUCUUCCCCAAGAGAUCACAUCGACGGGAAGGUUUGCCACCUCGAUGUCGGCUCAUCGCAUCCUGGAGCUGAAGUCGGUUCCAAGGGUUUGGCUGUUCGCCAAUUAAAGCGGUACGCGAGCUGGGUUCAGAACGUCGUGAGACAGUUCGGUCCCUAUCUGAUGUGGGCGUUGGAAUAUUGAUGAGAGCUGCUCUUAGUACGAGAGGACCGGAGCGGACGUACCGCUGGUGCUCCAGUUGUUUCGCCAGAAGCAUAGCUGGGUAGCCAAGUACGGAAAGGAUAACCGCUGAAAGCAUCUAAGCGGGAAGCCUCCUUAAAGAUGAGUAUUCCCUUGAAAUUCCUUAUAGACGAUGAGGUUGAUAGGCUGGAAGUGUACGUGUAGUGAUACAUUUAGCUGACCAGUACUAAUAAAUUGAUAGGUUUAAAAG